GGCGUAGCUCAAAGGAUCAGAGCAUUGGACUUCUAAUCCAACGGUUAAGGGUUCGAAUCCCUUCGUCUG
RNAcentral lists this transfer RNA (69 nucleotides) under bovine gut metagenome. It matches the Rfam family "tRNA". From Rfam's summary of the family: Transfer RNA (tRNA) molecules are approximately 80 nucleotides in length. Their secondary structure includes four short double-helical elements and three loops (D, anti-codon, and T loops). The record is from RNAcentral.